This 29-nucleotide non-coding RNA is filed under the name Mus musculus (house mouse). The record is from RNAcentral. Lineage: Eukaryota; Metazoa; Chordata; Mammalia; Rodentia; Muridae.
UGAGAAUGCAGGGACAGAGACCAAGCACC